Molecule: ribosomal RNA, 1345 nt
Filed under: uncultured bacterium
Lineage: Bacteria
Description: partial 16S ribosomal RNA
Rfam family: Bacterial small subunit ribosomal RNA
Source: RNAcentral
GACGAACGCUGGCGGCGUGCUUAACACAUGCAAGUCGAACGGAAAGGCCCUGCUUUUGUGGGGUGCUCGAGUGGCGAACGGGUGAGUAACACGUGAGUAACCUGCCCUUGACUUUGGGAUAACUUCAGGAAACUGGGGCUAAUACCGGAUAGGAGCUCCUGCUGCAUGGUGGGGGUUGGAAAGUUUCGGCGGUUGGGGAUGGACUCGCGGCUUAUCAGCUUGUUGGUGGGGUAGUGGCUUACCAAGGCUUUGACGGGUAGCCGGCCUGAGAGGGUGACCGGCCACAUUGGGACUGAGAUACGGCCCAGACUCCUACGGGAGGCAGCAGUGGGGAAUAUUGCACAAUGGGCGGAAGCCUGAUGCAGCAACGCCGCGUGCGGGAUGACGGCCUUCGGGUUGUAAACCGCUUUCGCCUGUGACGAAGCGUGAGUGACGGUAAUGGGUAAAGAAGCACCGGCUAACUACGUGCCAGCAGCCGCGGUGAUACGUAGGGUGCGAGCGUUGUCCGGAUUUAUUGGGCGUAAAGGGCUCGUAGGUGGUUGAUCGCGUCGGAAGUGUAAUCUUGGGGCUUAACCCUGAGCGUGCUUUCGAUACGGGUUGACUUGAGGAAGGUAGGGGAGAAUGGAAUUCCUGGUGGAGCGGUGGAAUGCGCAGAUAUCAGGAGGAACACCAGUGGCGAAGGCGGUUCUCUGGGCCUUUCCUGACGCUGAGGAGCGAAAGCGUGGGGAGCGAACAGGCUUAGAUACCCUGGUAGUCCACGCUGUAAACGGUGGGUACUAGGUGUGGGGUCCAUUCCACGGGUUCCGUGCCGUAGCUAACGCUUUAAGUACCCCGCCUGGGGAGUACGGCCGCAAGGCUAAAACUCAAAGGAAUUGACGGGGCCCCGCACAAGCGGCGGAGCAUGCGGAUUAAUUCGAUGCAACGCGUAGAACCUUACCUGGGUUUGACAUGGAUCGGGAGUGCUCAGAGAUGGGUGUGCCUCUUUUGGGGUCGGUUCACAGGUGGUGCAUGGCUGUCGUCAGCUCGUGUCGUGAGAUGUUGGGUUAAGUCCCGCAACGAGCGCAACCCUUGUUCACUGUUGCCAGCACGUUAUGGUGGGGACUCAGUGGAGACCGCCGGGGUCAACUCGGAGGAAGGUGGGGAUGACGUCAAGUCAUCAUGCCCCUUAUGUCCAGGGCUUCACGCAUGCUACAAUGGCUGGUACAGAGAGUGGCGAGCCUGUGAGGGUGAGCGAAUCUCGGAAAGCCGGUCUCAGUUCGGAUUGGGGUCUGCAACUCGACCUCAUGAAGUCAGAGUCGCUAGUAAUCGCAGAUCAGCAACGCUGCGGGCUAGUGAGGCCGGGGCU